ACUUUUUGUAGAACGGACCGGCGAGUUACGUUAUGCAGCAAGGUUAAGAACUGAAGGUUCGGAGCCGAAGCGAAAGCGAGUCUGAAUAGGGCGAAAGUUGCAUGACGUAGACCCGAAACCGGGUGACCUAUCCAUGAGCAGGUUGAAGUGGAGGUAAAGCUCCAUGGAGGACCGAACCAGACGUCUGUUGAAAAAGGCGGGGAUGACUUGUGGAUAGGGGAGAAAUUCCAAUCGAACCCGGAGAUAGCUGGUUCUCCUCGAAAUAGCUUUAGGGCUAGCCUCAUGGAUCAUUGGUGGGGGUAGAGCACUGAAUGUGCGCGGGGGCCACAAAGCCUACCAAACGCUAUCAAACUUCGAAUACCAUACAAUGCAGACCAUGGGAGUCAGUCCGCGAGAGAUAAGUUCCGCGGGCAAAAGGGGAACACCCCAGAUCAACCGCUAAGGUCCCCAAGUUCACGUUAAGUGGAGAAGGAUGUGGAAUUGCACAGACAACCAGGAUGUUGGCUCAGAAGCAGCCACACAUUUAAAGAGUGCGUAAUAGCUCACUGGUCGAGUGAUUGUGCGCCGAAGAUGUCCGGGGCUAAACGUGACACCGAAGCGAUGGGUGCAUCUGAAAGGAUGCGCGGUAGAGGAGCAAUGUGCAGAGGCAGAAGCCGUAUCGAGAGGCACGGUGGACACUGCACAAGAGAGAAUGCCGGUAUGAGUAGCGAGAGGCAUGCGAGAAACAUGCCCGUCGAAAGCCCAAGGUUUCCUGGGGAAGGUUCAUCCGCCCAGGGUAAGUCGGGGCCUAAGCCGAGGACGGAAGUCGUAGGCGAUGGACAGCAGGUGUAGAUUCCUGCACUACCGAUGGAAUGAAGCAGUGACACAGAAGGAUAACUCGAGCAGGGUGAUGGUCAACCCUGUGCAAGCAUCAAGGUUGGGUUGUAGUGAAGUACGCAACCCUAUAAGCUGAGGUGUGAUGCGGACCGAAAUUUCAGUAGGGAAGCGAGUGAGUUCACGCUGGCGAGAAAAGCUGCUAGUACAUCCAAAGGUACCCGUACCGGAAACCGACGCAGGUGGGCGAGGAGAGAAUCCUGAGACGACGGGGAGAACCCUUGUUAAGGAACUCGGCAAAAUGACCCCGUAACUUCGGGAUAAGGGGUGCCUGCGAGAGCAGGCCGCAGAGAAUAGUCACAAGCGACUGUUUAGCAAAAACACAGGUAUCUGCGAAAGCGAGAGCUGACGUAUAGGUGCUGACACCUGCCCGGUGCUGGAAGGUUAAGGGAACAUGUUAGAGCAAUCGAAGCAUCGAACCGAAGCCCCAGUAAACGGCGGCCGUAACUAUAACGGUCCUAAGGUAGCGAAAUUCCUUGUCGGGUAAGUUCCGACCCGCACGAAUGGUGUAACGACUUGUGAGCUGUCUCAACAGGGGGCCCGGUGAAAUUGAAGUAUGGGUGAAGAUGCCCAUUACCCGCGACUGGACGGAAAGACCCCGUAGAGCUUUACUGCAGCCUGAUAUUGAGUUUCGGUAACUGAUGCACAGGAUAGGUGGGAGUCUGAGAGACAUGGGUUUCGGCUCAUGAGGAGACGGUGUUGGGAUACCACUCUUCGGUUACUGAAAUUCUAACAUAGCUCUGUGAAACCAGAGGAUGGACAGUGUCAGGUGGACAGUUUGACUGGGGCGGUCGCCUCCGAAAGAGUAACGGAGGCGCCCAAAGGUACCCUCAGAAUGGAUGGAAACCAUUCGAAGAGCGCAAAGGCAGAAGGGUGCCUGACUGCGAGAGUGACAACUCGAGCAGAGACGAAAGUCGGGCUUAGUGAUCCGGCGGUAUUGAGUGGAAAAGCCGUCGCUUAACGGAUAAAAGCUACCUCGGGGAUAACAGGCUGAUCUCCC
RNAcentral lists this ribosomal RNA (1873 nucleotides) under human gut metagenome. RNAcentral's name for it is "bacterial LSU rRNA". It matches the Rfam family "Bacterial large subunit ribosomal RNA", at positions 603 to 2491 of the family's 2925-position model. The record is from RNAcentral.